Molecule: non-coding RNA, 87 nt
Filed under: Marchantia polymorpha subsp. ruderalis
Lineage: Eukaryota; Viridiplantae; Streptophyta; Marchantiopsida; Marchantiales; Marchantiaceae
Source: RNAcentral
GUGUUCGUUGAGCCGAGAGAAGGUUAGCAACCCCCUUGACAAGGACGGGAAUUGGCUUCGGCCAUUCACACACCAUGAGGUUAUUAA